AAAAGUAGAAAACAGAUGAAAAGCAAAAGGGAAAAGUGAACUUCGUAAAAAUACCAUACAUGCCAGACCCUUCAAAUAUGAUUUCCUGCAUAUUGCACUUUAAAAAGCAUGAUAUUACAACAUGCUCUCGCAUGCAGGGGCCAAAAAUAUGAAAGAAUAAAGCCUUGUUUGAUCUCGAGAGUUGAAUGGAUGUCAUUUGACCCAUCCAUGAUCUGAUCCUAGACCUAGGACAUGUCAGAUGAUUUUCCACUCAAUGAGUGUCUGCACCACUCCCUUGUCUCUUCCCCACCCUCUUGUUGGACAGAUAGUGCUGACACGCUUCCUGUUAUGGGCUGCUGCUCCGGCUCUCGCGCCUGCUGGCACCGAGCCGCCUGUGGCUUGGGCACAGCACUUCAAAAGCCAUUUCUGGCACACGGACGAAAUAUUUUGAAGUGAGUUUGGGUGGUUCCCAAAACGACCUGCUCCAACCGAGCAGAAAGAAAGCUUACAUUAUCUCAUGUAAAAGACCCAGAUCCUCUCCAGAGCCUGCCAGAGGUUUAUGAAAUGCUGCGUUACUUCUGAGAAGCCUUGACAAAAAUAAAAAGCAUAAACGUGAUGCUGAGAUAACAGCUCAAUUGUCUGCUCUUAAUUUCUCAGGAUCUAUAAUGUACUUGAUACCUGUCUUGUAAACGGUGCAAAGUAAUUGUUUUGUGGUUGGUCAAAGCCAAUUGCAUGUGUGAUGGAAACUAUGGAAGAUGAAAGGGAGGGAAACUAAAAAUGACACAGAAGUUAUGGCCACUACUAACACAUCCUUUAAAAUCAGUGUUUUAUAUGAUCUUUCAUUACUUAGUGAAAGUUUGUUUUACAAUUAGAGCUUGAGAGCUUUGGAGAGAACAUGUAGGGUGAAAAGCAGAUGUACAUUAUAUUUUGGUACAGAAGCAGUGGUUGCUGGAGUCUUUGACAACAACAACAUCUUGAUAAAGUGGAGUAACAGGUACGUUGUUUUCUUAUUAAUGACUGGGCACGUAGCUGGCAUUCUAGCAUGUUGUAUUCUGGAGCUUUCUGCUCAGCAGUUCUUUUCCUGUAGUACAUAAAUUGCAAUGGCUCUGAAGUUGAGUAGUGCUACAAAACACCUUGCGCUGCAGAUGAGCAAUGCAGAGGCUCAGCUAGAAGAAAGCUGAGCUGCUUCUCUCCACAUCAGAAAAACAGUUUGGCUGUGUUAGAAGUGUGCAUUUGGUGCCUGUGUUGUGGGACCUGGCACCAUCUCCUCCUGGGAAGCAUGUGGGAUGGGGGAAGGCAGCCUCCAGCUUUGUCCCCACCUGCUGGCUGGCAGGUUUGAUAAAUCAGGUGGGGAAAAUUGGCUGUGUAAAUAGCUUUUAAAGAGCAGCGCAUCUUCUUCAGUCUCCCUUUUUGGGGUAUGAGAUGGGGAGAGUCUAAAUAUGGGAAAGCUGUGAGGGAGAACAGCAAAUUGGCAUGGUUCUUGCUGGGGAGCGGUGAGCAGCAGGACAGCAGCAUCACUCCAGUACAGCCUGCAGCAGUGGGAGCCUCCGUGCCACCACGUGCAUCACCCGAGUUGGAAGGGACCCACAAGGAUCACUAAGUCCAACCCCUGGCUCCACACAGUACCACCCAAAAUCCAAACCCCAUGUUUGAGAAUAGUGUCCAGAGACUGACAGUGAAGUCUCAACUUGGGAUAUUUCUCUUUACAAUGGUUUAAAUAAUUGCUAUAUCACAUUGUUGGUCAAGCGGUCGCUUUCUGAGAGAAGUAUCUGUGGGACAUUUAACACUUUCUUCCUUCAAAAUGUUUUUCUUCUUUCUAGCUUUUCUCCUUUAACAUGGCAUGACCAAACGGGGCAGGUGGAAACCUGAGCACAGAUAACUGCGAAUUUACCUAAUCUUGGACAUUAGGCUAUGAACAAAAUAAAUGCUGGACAGUACUUAGGCUGUUGCAGGGGAAGAAGGUGAAAUUUUGCCCUGCUGUGUGUAAUUAUAACUUGUGUGUGAUGUGUCCAUCGUGGUACCGGUAAGCAGAAGUGCACUGCGUUCGAGGUAUUGCUUGGUGGUGAACUCCAUCCGUGAGUAUUCAGAUCAUCUGUGGUGAGAUUAAUGUUGUUAACACUGCAAUCUCCUGCUUCAUUGAGCUGGUUAUAUAGGUCAUCAUUUUUGUACUUUGCAAACCGUACUUAUUUCUUUUCACUAUGCAAAGAGGCAUGAAGGUGCAUUAAGUAAUCACGCUGAGAUAACAAAAAUCAAAGCCUUAUUUUUCAGAUAACAUAGAUAAGGAAAAUCAAAUUUUACUUGCAAAAUCAGGGGAUUGAUCCUAAAAUCAUGAAAGUGCUUUUGAAAACUGUGCUGUUAGGCUUUUCAGUGUAAUUAUUUGUUAUUCUUCCAGUGAAAGGCCGUUUCUUUCCUCUGCUGUGCCCAUAAGGAGGGUUCUGUCACCAACUCGUUGGAUAACGUUUAGUACUUCAGUUCAUUAUAGCAGCUUUCUUUUGCUUAUUCAAAACGCAUAACUGAUGGAACGCAUUUGGCCUGUUUAUUGGAACAUAAUUGUCAAUCAAGUUUGCAACACAAGAAUUGUUGCAAGUGCAAAAUUCCCUUUCCUUGAGCAUCCUGCAGUGUUUCUGUUUUUCACCCCCUUAAAUAUUCCUACCAGUAAAAUGCUGUGAAGAAGCUGGAAGGCACUGUGUUCAUUGUCAGCUGAAAGAGUCCACUGCAGCCCUUUGAGAGUGGUUUUUUUUUCCUAAUGCUGGCUUGUGACUGCACUGAAAGGGCAGCUGUAAACAUGAGGACUUUGUUCUGCCUGCUGCUCUUCAGCUGCAAAGAACUUGAUUUCUUGAUGAAAAGGGAAGUGAAGAGUAGUACUGGCUAGAUAACAAGUGUUGAAAGAGAAGCUGUGCUGUACAUCUUAAUAGCACGAUCUGUGUAUCUCAGUUGGGCAGAAAAAUGAUAAAUUUUUCCACUUAUCUGCUCAUUUGAAGUCAAACAAGCUUUCUCAGAGCAGACUUUUCAAGCUGAGGGCAGAUGUCGAAGUAGCUGAUCCUAGUGCUGCUUUGUUUUGUGACAGGACAGUCCUCCAUCAGCAUGGAUGCCUCCACCCCACUGGAACUGGUGGCCUUGGUGUGUCUCAGCCACCACUGACCUGCAUGUGACUGUGAUGGCUUAACGUUGGCAAUUAAUAGAGAAAUUCAAAAUGCCAAGAAUGUUACUUAGAAAGAAGCAUGUGAUCCAGAUUUUCUGGUCUGCCCAAGCUGUGUUUGAACCAAGACCAGGCAAGGGAAAACAAGUGUGACUUGGAGCUAUUUUUGAUGGCUUGAUCCUGGGACUAGUCCAGCUUCUGCAACAAGUUAGAACUGCUCUGGUUUCAUGCAAGCCCUGCUUGAAUUGAUGGCAUCAUGGUAUGUGAAUCUGUCCCCCUUUUGAUUGGAGUCCAUCUCCCCGUGCUGUGGGCUUGCAGAGCUAAUGUAUUCCCAGCGUGGCAGAGUACAGCCUUACUGCAUUAUGUCUGUAGAGAAUGCUGCAUCCUUUGCACCAUCCUUGGGCAAAUAACCAAUGGUGAACGUGUGUAGCAUCCCACUAUUGUCAUAACUGAGGUGAUCCGGACAGCAUGUAUGUGGGGCUGACCAUGGUCAGUGCCAUGAACACGAGAGGAGUUGCAGCAAAGGGUACCUCCUGAAGUAACUUCUGAUGAAACGUGCUUGAUAUCCCAUUGCUGUUCCAGGAUCUGCAGGCUGUGCCUGUGGAGCUUUGCAGGCUGCCAGACGUGAUCCCGUCACCUUGGUGUGGUUUUGGCCCCAGAGGAGGCUGCUGCUGAGGGGAACGCCUGCAGGGAACAGAGGUGUGGUCUUCCCUUGUGCCCCUCUGCUCUGUGCACACAGCUGCUUUCGUUUGCUGGCAGUCUGAGAUAAGCAGCUCUACUGCUCCUGGAGCAGAAUGACUAACCAGCUUAGUUCUUUGUGCUCUGCUUGGCUUUCUAGUGAAAUAAAACAAAACCAGAACACAGCCAUGCCUACUCUGCUGUGGCAUGAACUGUGUUGUUAGAGAAUCUCAGCCUGACAUUUAAAGUGUGAUUUCCCCUCACCCAUCCUCCUCCCCCUUCUCCCCCUUUUUUUCUCCUCUGGACCCAGAAGGCUAAAAUGUCUGUUUAUAGUAUGCUGCAAUGACUGGCAAUAUUGAGCUUAUUUAGAUAGUGGGAAUGGUUUUUCUGUGAUAACAGAGGUGAAAAGCCUCAGAUAAAGCUGAAAGCCUUGUUGGUAAUUGGGCUGGAAUCGCUCUAAUUUGUUAGUCUGUUUUAAAAGUUUUAAAUUCAAAAUGCAAUAAAUAGCUGAGUGAAAAUGAACACAGAUUAAACCCUGCAUUCACUCUGUAAUAACAAAUACUAUGGAGAAUUUUUCUGAACUUGAAGCUUAAGCACUAUGAUUACAUUCAAACUAUCUGAUUUUUUUUUAUCUGUGCAAUAAAGUGCUCAAGCACAUCCAUCAGCUCUAAAUGGAUGUGUUAUCCCAUGACUGUUCCCUGUUCAGCAAAGCUCUUCAGCACGUACUUCAGUCACAGAAAAAUCCAUGGGUCUGAAGCACAUGUUCAGAGUUCAAGGUGUGUUGAAGUGCUUGUUUAACUCCUGUCCCAUGCAUCUGUAACAGUGUGCUUAACCUUUCAGCUUUGUUUUCGGUGCUUGACAAUAAGAAGAAAUGUAUGCAAAUGCUUUGUGUGAUGUUCUGUCUCUAGCUACCAAGAGGGAGGUAAGAGUAACCCCUGGAACAAGUGCUUCUCUCAUGCUUUUGCUGCUUCAGUAGUUCAUCAUUCAGUAUUGUCAACUCCGGGAGUUUUGCUUCAGCAGAAACUAAAGGUCCGAUUCAGAAAGACACGAGACAGCACUUGGGGUCAGUUUAGAAAUACGUGAACUCUUUUUGGGUCUCAACAGAUUUUCUAGAUCUGAAAAACUUGGUCAAGGAAUUUGAAGAACUUCUGCAGUACCGGUCUGUAACAGCAGCAGUAAUUCUUUAACAGGUUGUUGUAUGAUACUGAAGGCAGUAAGGGAAGGAAGCACGUACCUGGGUUGUUUGUUAGUGACAAGAGUUGCUUUAUUGCAGCACUCAGAGUAAGUAUGAGAACGUAAUGCAGAUUGCCAGCAUCAGUGAAUAGCAGAUGGUAAUUUCCCAUGGCUGAACAAAUAAAAACAUGCAAAGAAGGGAUAAAGUCAGUGAGUGUGUUAGUGUUCUAGUGUAUGUGUUGGAGAACUUCUGCUUAUUGGUGUUCCUGGGUGAGAAAUGUUUUGAUCAAUAUUCUCAAAAAAGCCAUUGAACAACCCCCAAGCACUGUAGAGUGCACUGACAAAAGUGAAUGAAGAAAUACAUUGGGAUUUCUUAGUGGAGUGUUCCUCAGUGAAUCAUUCCCUACUUGUGUGUUACAACACGAGCAGCAGAGACUUCCGUGAUCUCAGGUGGGAAACCCUGAAAUUGUCCUGUGCCAUGCCUUUCUAUCAUCCCUUCUGGGCGAGCUAUAGCUGCUGCUGUUGAUGUUUGUGUGUGUGCUGCACUGAUUUUGCUCUCAUAGGAAUUGGUGAUCUCAGGCACUUUAUUAAUGUCAGUAAUUAUUCAAAGUAUCUGAGCCUCGUCUUAACGCCUGCAGUGGGGCCAGUGGGGGAGAAUAUAGGUUAUAGAAUACAGUGUGACUGUGUAAUUACUCUGAGGUAAACAAAAUGAUGAAAAGUACACAAUCUACAUUAGGUGCUAUUACUAAUUCCUUAGCAGCUCUAGCAAUGCCACGAGACCAGCAUUACCAACCCUGUGCCCAGCUGCUGCCCAGCAAUGGGGCAGCUUGCUCUGCUUGUAGGAUCAGCACUGACUGUGGUGUUCGAUGCUGCAACUGAAACUUGGCUGUCUAGAGCUGGUCCCUGCAUCAAGCAAUGCAUGCUCAUUAAAGUGAAUUCAGUCCCAUCAGAGAUUUGUUAAUGACUGCAUUAAAUUGAGGGUAAGCACUGUUGAGCUCCAUGCUAUUUAUUUCUGCAGUACAUGUUGUCUGUAUUUUGAGCAUUAUAGAGGGGCUUUCAACUAAGGAAAGAAAUGGGAGAAAAAUAAAGCCCUUCAGAGACGAAAACCAACCUCAACUGUGCUGUUUGUAGAGGAACUCGGAGACCCUGAUAACGGGAACAUUAAAAAUGCAUAUCCAUGUGACACAGCUCUAUGAUCUGCUGGUUAAAGGGCAGUUUGCUGCCAGAGAGGUAGCUUGCUGCUCCCCCAGCAACUGAGCCCUGCAGCCAGCGUGCACAGCGUGGAGCUCCAGGCUGCCAUGCCACCAGGCAGUGCUUCUUAGUCUGUCUUUUCCGCAUGCUUCGGCACACCCUAGCUUGAGGUGGGACUGGAAGCGAAAGUUCUGGAAUACUCAAGGAAGACCAUUCUUGUGGUAUUUCAAUCCCAGCCAAAAACAGGAAGCACUGGAAAACCAGCCAAAAAGAAAAAAAUAAAAAUUAAAGUAAAAAUCAGACUGCUGGGGAGCUUGCCAGCCUGAUUUCCAAGCCAAAGGGAUUUGGAAAAGCAUCCGAAUGUUUCAGAGGUUAUCCAGACCAGAAUAAAAGACUUUCCCUCUCUGCUUGGUGUAUGGGUGAAUUGCAGCCUUCUGAGCUGUGCUGUCACUGAGGAGGUUCCUGUACUUGGUUCUGCCCUCCCAAUCCUAAAAACAUAUUUCCCCAUAGCUGAAGGUGCCUGCUGCCUCAAAAUGCCAGCACAAGUCUUAUUCCUGAAAAGAGUGAAUGGAGAAGGAAAAAAGCAAAACCAGUCAUGAGGCUGUUCUAGAAGUGUCUUUAUUAUCUGCCAUCCACUCCAAGUGUCGCUCAAAGGCAAGCAGUCUGUUGUCCAUCAGCUUUAGCCUAUCCUAAACGCUUUCACCACUGCUUCCAUAAAGAUGAGACAGGUAUGAAGGGGGUUAUCCCCCUUUGCUUUGCUCCUCAACGCUGCUUUCCCUAAUUUGCCAAAUCUGGUCACUGAGUUGUUGCAUCCGAAGAGGACAGGUAUUGCUAUAAACCAUCAAUAUUAAUGAUGUAUUGUUGAGAAGAAAGGCCUCGGAAGCCAUGCCAAGUGAACGUCUGUGGAGUAGUUUGAGUUUUGGCUCACGUAUUCUUUUGAGUGAGUUUUAGCCAAACUGCUUGUGUCAGUUUUACAGACCCAGGGUGGUCUUAAAGACAAGAAUGUUAAUGGCUUCUUCCUGUCAAAUUAGUUUAUGACCAAAAGUUUCUUUUUUUUUUUUUUUUUUAAACUACCAGCAAUGAUAGCAUUAAUCUAAACAAACCUGUCCCCCUGAACUGCUCCUGGCAAGUGAGUCAUAGCUGGUGUAGGCAGAGAUCUGCGGGUUAUCUUCAGGACAGACCUGUGGCCCUGGGAUGGGGAGAGGGUGUGCUGUUAAAUCACUGGGCUGCGGUGCUCCUGUGCCUUCUCACACCUUACAGAGAUAGCAGUUGAGUAACUCAAGACAUAUGGCUGGACUGAGGAAUAGAAAGGGCUGUAAAACCAGAGCAUCAAAUAAGGAUUGUGAACAGACUUCCCCUGAUGAGCCCAUAGGAAAAAAAAAAAAAAACAAACAACAAUAAUUGAGCAACCUGUUUGUUGUGAUGGACACAGAGCAUUUCUCUGUUUCAAUUUUUUUUUUUUGCUUGUAACCCUAGCAUCUGGUUGUCAGUCAUAGCAUGUGGCCCGUGGUGUUUUGAGAGUUUCAGUGCUUGAGGUAUGUGAAGAAAAGGAGUAAAAAAUUGUUUUAUCUGUGUUUUAUGCCAUCACGUCUUUUGUGAGUUGACUGAACAAAGCAGCAUUCAGGCAGUGAAAAAUUAAUAUAUACAGAUAGCAUGUUCUGGUUGCUUUGUAAAAGGUAUGAUAUAACAAAACAACAGAAUUUUGCAUUAUGAAAUGUGACAAGAAAACAUCUAUCAGGGUAGCUUGUCCCUUCGAGUCUACAUGGUAGAGAAUCCCUCCUUCCAUAGAGGAGCUAUUUUCAGAAUAAAAUGAACUUGCUAAGUUGAGUCAGCAAACGUUCUGGUUGUGUAGCCAAGCAGCUAUGAUGGACCUGGAAUUAUCCCUACUUUUCUUCCCUCUAGGCAGCCAUGCCCUCUGCUGAGGACUCUGCAUUUUCUAGCUGUGAGGAUUUUCCUAGUGAGGAACUUUAUCACCUUUUCUCCAUUUUAAUAGUGAUUCUACCAGGAAUAAUAAAAUCCUUCAGCUCUUAUGCUGAAAGCGUUUUCAUUGCCUCUAGGAGUGAUCUAUUAGGAAGCAUUUUACACCUUUUGCUAAGCCCUCUGAAGGACUAAAAAUAACCAACCAAACAACAAAACACAAAGCAAACUGCAAGAAGUCUGCUUGCAGAAAGGCCAUUCAUGCUUUUGGUAAUAUUACUGUUUUCAGCUUGAAAGGGGAGCAUCUCUUUGCAAUAGCGUUAUAGAAGAAUGAGCUCCACGUGUGAAACUUCCCCCAAAGGAAUGAAUUAUUGCAUUAUUCUUAUGUUAUUAUCCUCUGCCUUGAUACUUUUUGUUCAUCUGGAAUAAAAUAAAUGAAUACCUGCAGAAAGCCACAGAGGCUUUCCGGGGCUGGAAACUAAGAAUAAGCUGUAAUUGAGUAUAGAAAUCAAAUUGUGCCAGCAUGUUUAGCUUCUUCAGUGUGUUUACUUCAGAGUAGUAACAGCUUAAUAAGAGUUCUUAGGAAGAUUGGUGCCUCAAUCACUUAGUGUGUUUGCUGCACGUGUAUUUACAUCUCAGAGAUCCGUGCCACAGAAAUGCUGAAGCAGAGCUGUCUGUUGCUGGCACACUUACAAAAAGCAGGGGCAGAGCGGUUGCUUGCUGUGCCCUGAUGACCCUCAGAAAUCCAUGUUAUUAAUAGGUGUAGUCACAGCUCCAUGUUAAUUAUGAGGUGCUUCUCACUGCAGUCAUUAAUAACCGGUGGGCUUUCCUAUACAGAAAAAAAGGUACCAUUUGUUUAGAUCUUAGUGGGAACUAAAUUAUCUUUCAGCGUAUGCAGAGAUACAGCAGCAGAUGUGACCUUAGGCUGUUAUGAGGCUCUGUGAGAAGCCAUAACCUCUUGAAUCCACGUGGAAUUUUGUACAUCUCUUGAACUUUAGAGCAGAGGGAAUACACCUGCUUGUUCCGCCUCUGACUCUGUGUGCUGGGUUAUUCUUUGGUAUCCUCACUGCAGGCUGGCCGGUUGAUUUUUCAGGAUGCAUGUUUUGGGGUGCACUGCCAGUCAUUGUAAAGAGACACUGUGAAGUUGCCUGCUGUGAUGUCCUGCUGCAAAGCUGAGAAAAAGAGCCGUAAUGCUGUCAGCUGGAGUUAUUUAAAACCUAUUGCAAUUUAAUAGGAUUAUCAAAUAAUCUGCUUUUAUCCGUGUUUACUAAUACGUAGUCAGAAUUUUUUUCCUCCUACGAUGAGGGGAGCUGUGCUGUUCUUGGGAAGAAAACAUCUCCAUGUGGCUGCAGACACAGCUCUCCCUGCUGGGCUGUGCUGGCACUGAGUGGACGCUGGGAAACAGCAAGCAAACAGUAUCUAUAAUGCUGGUAGUUCAGGAUCCUAUCAUAAUAAAGCUAAAAUAAGGGAAAAUGCAUGCAUCGUAGGGAUAGAGUUUGAUUCUCAGUGCCAUCUGAUUUUACUUGUGUGAUCAUCAACCACACGCCCUGGUGGUGACUGCAAUCAGAGCAGGGCAUGGGAGUUCAUCUGAAGCCUUUAUCUGUCAGUACUGCGGCAGAUGUGAAAGCUUAGCUAGAAGGAACCCAGAAAUACUUAAAUCUGCUCUACUGGAAGGGUGGUGCCAUCAGAACCUACAACGCUAUUAAUAAUUCUUAAGGGCCGUGUCUUCUGAAGCACAUACUGUUUCAUCUUUAUUAAUAGAAACUGCAUUUUGGAACUAGAACGCCGCUGAGAUCUUCUUAUUUGUUUUUAGGGGAAUUUGGACCUUCCUCUUGAGUUCCAAGCAACUUGAGUUGAAGUUCUGUCUGUCUGCAAUGGAAAGAUGGACAAAAAGCGUUCUGGCUUCAUUUCCAUCCCAUGUUAAGUUAUGGUCCAUGCGUGCUCCGUGGCCUUGGAUUUGGAAUAGAGCAUGCGUAGAUUUUCAGAUGAAGCCUCUGUUAACCAGAUAAAAAUGUGCAUUUCAGAAGCAAAAUACAUCUGCGUUGCAGCAUGGCAAGUUCAAAGCCAUUCGGAGAAGUUUAUGGGAAGCAGCUGUGGGUUGUCUUUGCUAAUUAGGAACAGAGCACGCUGAGGACUUGACACAACAGGUUUACACAGUACGAUUAGGUAAAGAAAGUUAAUGUCUGCUUUUAAUAACAAGAGCAAGUAGCAGAGGUGGCAAAGUAUUUUUAAUGACAUCAUUUGCCCAGCUGUUUUACACAUCUGUAACCCAGGACGUCGUUCCAAUUCUGUAACACUUCAUCCUUGCUCUUCCACACCUUUGGGAUAAGGGAUAAAGUUACCUGUCUGGGGGAGAACAGCCUGGGCAACGUUUGCAUUUGUGGCCAGUUAUCAGCAUUGGCCGUGUCCAAACAUUGGCUAAACCUAUAUAUUUUUCAAAGUACUAAUUACUUCACUGUGAAUUUGGCACUUACGCAGAUCCCUGUGCUCUUGGCCAGGCUUACAUCUAGGAAUGAAACAUUUGCAGCAGCUGCGAAAAUGUUUUUACUUAUUUAGAGCAUUCUAAUAUUUUAUAGCCGUGAAUAAUGACAAGCCCAUGAAUCAGACAUCAAUUUGCAGUGUUAGAUGCUUCCCCCUGUGAUGUCUUAGACAGUGAUGGCACGAGGGCUGUGCCAUGGGGCCCUGCUGCAUGGCUGCGUGGAUGCAUGCUGCUCAUGUAGGGGCAGGUUCAGCUGAUUGGAUCCAGUGGGAUUUCCACUGAGAGGGCUUUGAUGCGGAUGCCUUUUUCUUCCUUUUGUAAUCUCCAUGCAGCUGUGUAGAACUACCUCUGGGGCUCUAGCUGGGCUUCUGUUUCUAAACCUAAGCAGCUUAUUCUGCCAAGGUGUUGUGGCCCACUAAAGAUGGGCUCACACCUGCACCUGAAGUGUUACCAAGAGUCAACUUGAGGGACUUGAUUACCUCUGUGCUAAUGAAGAGGAGUUCUCUUUCAAUGGGGAACAAGAGGAAUGCUGUGCAAAAUGUUUGAGAGGUUUGCUGUCACUUUGGAGCAGUGAGUGACUCAGAAAGGUCCCAUCCAGCUGCUUCACUUGGUUUGCUAUUUGGGUUCACUCUCAAAUAGCUGUAAUGGGUUGGAAAGUCUUGGGUUUUUUUUGUAUUUAAUGCUCUUUGUGAUGUAUGGACGUAGGGUAUAAAAUGUUAGUACAUUUACAUGCGGUGUAUGGCAUGCUUUGGGAAUAUACUUGAGCUGUAGGACUUCAUUACUCUGAAUUAACCUCUAGUCUGGGAGAGAAAAAUACAACAGUAAAGUGUGGUACAAAUAUAUCUGGAGAGAAAUAUCUGGAUGUCUGGAGAGAAAUGCAGCACUGACUAAAGCAAAAUAAAGCAGGUUCAUGGGAGAUAGAGUGUGGGUCUGAGAAAGGGGCACUCUUCAUUCUGAUAUAAUAGUACAAAUCUUGUCGCCUUUCUGUAUCACUGGGGUAGGGUUGACCUCAAGAUUGGGGGCCAAAAUUCAUGGCAACGGUGCCUCGUUACUCUCUGGAUGAUACCAAACUUCAGCAAUUAGUUCAGUGCAGAUAUAGCUGGGCACUGUUCAGCCUGCAGCCCCAUUUCAUCACAACUUCAUUUAUUUUCUUGUGUUACAGUGGUUUUGUAUGUGUAAUUUUAUUCAUGGAUACAGUAAGGGUUGAGCAUCAUUCUGCUUCAUUGCAGGAACGUAAGUAUUUGUCAAAAUGAGAGGGUUUUCCAAACUGUUAAAGUAAACUAUAAAACUCCCAAAAAGGUGGAAAGUCUGAAAACUGCAUUUGCUCUUAAAAAUAAAUUAAUAAAUACUUUAUGAUGUGGAGAGGAAAAAAAAAAAAAAAAAAAGAGUCCAGGUGGAUAGCAAAAGUGUUAGGAAAAUAAGUGAGGACAAAUAUGGUUUCAGAGCAGGUGUAUGGGUUAAGAGAACAGCAGAACAUGUUUCUUUGCAGUGACACAGGAGCUUGGACCUUCUGAAUUCUCCAUGAAACAGGUGAACAUGUUUUUCCUUUCAGGCUUAUUCAAGAGAAAUGUGAGUGAUAUCAAAACGAAAAAGUAAGAGAAGUGAUGAUUUGCAUCUGUGGGUACUACCAGGCAAAACCAGUGGGAUAUUUCACGUGCUCUACAUAUUUUAGAAGUGGAAAACCCUGUCCUGGUGAUAACAGCAGAGUCACUGUUACAUAAUUUGAGUUCUGAAUGCUCUUGAACUGUAAUAAGAACCUGAGAUCAAGAUGGGCCAGAAGCCAGGUAUGUGAGGAACGUCUCAGGGAUGCACUCAGGGCUAAUGUUCUCAGUGUUGUACAGCAUCCCUGCCAGCCCCUUGCCCACCUCAAUGCAUGCAGAAGGCUCUGGGGCAUCAGCUUUCAAUCCUCUUUUCUGAACAAAAUCAGUCCCACAGUAGGCACUGUUCCCUGUUCUUGGAAGAAAAGUUUGCUGAAAAGUUGCUAAGUCUUUUAACGCUAACUUGGAUUGCUUCAUAUCAAGACCAAACCUUUCCCAUAACUGUAUCUUACCUGAACAAAAAAGAUUUGUCCCGACACAAGAAUCAUGCGCGAUGCUUUGCGUGCUUUGUUAUCCAGGAGGUUACCUAAGUGAUCAUCAGUUUUCCUUGGUGGCUUGACAGUCUCUUAAUGCUUCCUGUUACUUGAAAGUGUAUCAAAGCUUUAUGACCCCCAGGGAGCACAGCCAGAGGAGGAUGCAGCUCAGUGAAUGGCAGCAGUGCAGGGCUGCCCGGGGCCCAGCUCAGGGCUGCCCAUGGGGAGCACGGCCAGCUGCCAAGCCGUGCAGCGGGCGGCUGUUUUCAUUGAGAAUGCAGCCCGAGAAGUUAAAACCUUCUGAGUUUUUAAAGUCAGCUGGAGAACAUUAUAGUCACGCAGAACUGAAGGCAGACAACUCGUUAAAAUUAGCGUUGGCCGUAAUUAAAAACAUGCCGGGGGAAAAAGUCUAUGAGAAGAAACAGACUCUUGGAAAGCUCCUGACACAGCUACAUGUCUAAAUGGAAACAUAGCUUGCUAAUUGAUUUAAACGAUUGCCCGGCUCCUCCCUGCUCACUCCCUGCAGCAGGUACCAAAGCUGCCCUCCCUGCGGGCAGCCAGGCUGGGCACAGCCCCUUUCCCUGCCUGCCUUCUGCAGCCCUGCAGCUGGAAUCCCUGGGGCUGCAUGCUGCCCAUGGCUGCGUCCUGCUCUCACUGAGAACAUGAGCGUGCACAUAGGAAGGAGGAUUUUCAACUCUGAGUUAAGCCUUUGCAGUGGGUGCCAGUGCUGACUGUUGGUAGCAAAUAGCAAUGAUUUGGCUGUGCUUGUUGUAUCAUCGGGUCAAUUUGGAGCGUCAUUGCUAAAACAAUGCCACUACCAGCAUUUAUAGCUGCACGAGGAAUGCGCAUAGUUUCUCUGCUGAUUAUUGCAGUGUUUUGUUUCCUUUUGUUCUGUGCAAAAGACCCAGUCCUUACACAGGUAUCUUACAUGCUCCUCUGGUCAUGCUUCCUGAAAAUGAAGCAGCACUGGGGCUUCAGUUGCAUCGUGUUGUGCUGCUUGCUGGCAGCACAUGGCCAAGUAGCCUGGGUGAAUCCCGUUCCUUGCUGUACUACCAGGCAUGAUUUUGUGGUGCUGCUAAUCUUACAUCCAUCCUGUCCCAUUUAGCUGAAAUUUUUAUUUCCUUGCUAUAGCCUAUGGUUAGGAAGUGUACCUUUCCACACAUCAUCAUUCAUUUUUCUAUUGGCUUCCAUUGUAUAAUGCAGUAUGAGAGUGAAAAACUCUUCUAGUGCCAGUCUGGAGAAGCCCCAUGUCAUGUUGUCAUGCUCAGUUUUGGGGUUUGUGUGUGUUUCUAUGAAGAUAACAAACCCUGCUUCACAGCCUUACAUAAGGCCUACUGGCUUCAAUUAUGUGUUGUAACUCAAUGACUACCCUAUUAAAAUCAUAAUGCAAUUUAUAUUGGCUUUUAUUGCACGUUGUAACAUGAUGAUAGGCCCUUUUCAUGUGAUGCCUUUUGGCUUUUUUAACAAAUCAAAAUGUAACAGCCCACCUUUUUAUAUUCUAAUGUAAUGAACUCUUUCCACAGCUCCGUCUGAUGCUUAUUGGCUUCUCUGAGAGAUCCUAUUCCUAAUUUAAUGAGUCCCUCUUCACAUCAUAAUGUAAUUCAUAUUGGCUUUUACAGCAUAUCCUCGCACGCCGGUGCCAAAUCAUAUUGUGUCAUAAAGCUAAGUGGCUUCUAAUGGACAUCACACCUCAGUAACCCUGUCACACGUUGUAACAUUUUUGUCUGCUUCUCUAACACAUUGCAUAAGUCCAGUGCUUCUCCAGAAAGCCUGCUGCAGGCGUGAGCCGCGGGUUUUAGGCAGCAGGCGGCUGCGGCCCUUGCUGAGGCUGCAGGCUGUCGUGCUCUGGCUGUGUGUCACAGGGAUGUUUGAAGGGAUGCUUUAAAGAAACGCUACCCGCCUGACUUUAACGACUCCCUUGUUCCUGUUAUGGGUUAUUGCACAACGAACGCCUUCAGAUCUAUUUCUCCGCGCAAGUAUUUUUAAGCUCGCGUAGGGUUUACCUUAUUUAAAUUCUUAAUGAGGCAUGUAUUUGCUUCUUUAACCAAAUUAUGCUAAGAUUUUUUUUUUUUUUUUUGCGUUCCAGAGUCCAUUCUGGACUUUGAUAUUUUCUGAGGAAAGGCUUUCCAUAGUGAGAAAAUUAAAUUCCUUUCUCAGUGUGUAUUACUGGCAGAGUGCUGUUUUCUGAAGGCAGCAGAGGUGGUGACACACCAUCCCUGCCCCACAGCAGGACCUGCUAUCCCAGAGUUCAUGGGUAAGUUCACUGCUUCACUGACAUCUGACGGAGCUUUCCAGUGUUCUUCAGAAGAAAGAGAUACAAAAAUAUUUACUUGUUCUAGGCAGGAACGUCAUAUAACGUCUCUUUCAGAGCAAGCACUGACAUCUGCUGUUUAUCAGUCUAUUAUUUGUUCCUUUUAGGAGUGUGUAGUCCUUGUGUCUCAGGUAGCUCUCAAAUCUUUUCAAUAGCAUCGUGCUACAAAGCAUACACUAAAGGUGGGAUUUAUUUUUCCCAACUUCAAAUAUCUGUGUCUUAUCUAUUCCCCUUAGGCGUCAUUUGUAGGUGCUAGAAAAGACAAUGUCAAUAGAUAAUCACAUAUUUAAUUAUAGAGUUACUUUUAGGUGGGCCGAAUUGCUUUCUGAAGAAGAUUUAUUUCCACUGUUUGCGAUGAGGCUUGAUGAGUAUUCAGAUGGAGAAUCCCACUCUUGGAAGAUGAAUAUUCACGAGAGUACUGCAACCAGGAAAGGAACAUCUCCUUGUCUGCCAUGGUAAAUGGUUCUGCAACCCCAGAUAACAUGUCCUGUCCUCCAAGGAGGACAAGAGCCAUGGAGGGCUGGCUGUGACAUCUUCAUGGAUCAUCAGCACUGCUCUCAGAAUGGUAGGUGCUACUGGAAAGUGUAGGAGAUUCUUUCCUAUCUCUUCUGGUUUUAUAGACAAUCAGUACUGAGUCUCCAGCAGUCCUGGCUAGCUUGCCUGAAGCAAUUAAGAAUAACACAUUGUUGAAGUGAUUUUUAUGAGCCCAGCACAAGUGCAGGGGAUGAUUUUAUGGGCUAGCACAUCCUGAGGGGAUGAAAAGACAUGUGUUUCCGUGAAGCGUUGUGCUUGCUGCUCAGAGAGCUUCUGUGGGCAAAUGAAUUAGGUUGUGGGACAGAAAGCACGCAGUGGUCUCAAGCCAGAAAUGUUGCUCUCUCUGUACUGGAGACAGUGUCUCACAAUGUCCUUCCUCCAGGGCAGGCUGUGGAUCUCUUUUCUCCUGUUAACUGAGCCCAGAGGGAAAAAAAAAUAGCCAACAAAUGUGUUGUUUGAGGAAAGGAUCCAUCCCCUGCAAGGGCUCUCCUGGGCACCUUCACCCAUCCAUGUCAGUGUGCAGUGCAGUAUUGGGGCACAUACGGUUCUGGGAUGCUGAUAAAGCAUGUGGCAUCUCUUCAGAUGAGGAUAGGAAAUAUGCUUUAAUAGCUUUGCCUUUGUGAAGAUGCACAUCUUAUGGGCACAGUGUGGAGAGAAUGCUGGGAAAUAGCUGAGAGGAAAGCAAACAAUGUAUGAUUAAUUAAUCAAAAGGAUGUAAUUCAGUGAGUAGAAUUAUGCUAGCAACAAAUUACUUAUAGACUAAAUAAUACCCUGAGGAUGCAGGGUUUGAUAAUGCAGACACAGGGAAAUUUAUAGGGAAUUAUCUGCAAGCUAAAAGUUUGAGCCUCAUCUUGUACACAGGUAGUAUGUGAUGGAAGCUGAUUAUAUGGUCACUGUGAUCUUUGCAUGCAAACAUGAUAGGGUAAGUCUUUCACUUUUCUGAGUAAUGUGCUUCUGCUGACCUUCUACUAAUCUUUUCUGCUUAAUCCUCCUUUUUCUUAACAGUACUUAAUAGCUUCCUAUUGCAGAGUGAAUCUGCAGGACUUCUAGGUGAAGUUGGUUGUGCAAAGGAUAGUUGAAAUAUUUAAUGAGAUUUUUCUUCCCUGUUUCACGUCUUGGGAUAAAAAUGGUAUUCCAUGAACUGGGGAAUAAAGCCAUGUCUUUAGGGGCAGUUCCUCAGUAAUGUUGGGGAAAUCUCCCCGAAGAGCUAAGCAUGCUCUGCCCCAGUGAUACUGGCAGAGUUGCCUCCUAGUUUCUUUGAAACAUAAUUUGUGUAUGAGCGUUGUGUUUUGGGUACAAUGUCAUACAGGAAUUUAGUUAGGCAGCAGUCUUCCUCAUUUUUCUGUAAAGUAGCACUAUUUAGUGUUUUCUAGCUAUUUUUGAGUCAAACAUUCAAUGGAUGAUCCCCAAGUUUUGGGCAAGUAUACAAAAAAAGCAUACUUGACUGGCUCAGCCUGCCCAGUCAAUCAUUGGUGAGGCUGCAGCACUUCUAAGCACGGGCUCAGUUUAUGGCCUGAGGUCAGGGAACAAGUGAUGUGCUCUUGCAGGAUACUUCUCCCUCCAGCCCCUGCAGUGCCUCCUCCUCCAGCUGCCACCCUUGCCUUUCAGUCUGACAUUAUGCAUGGCCAUGGCAAAGCUGGAGAGAACCACCUACACUGGUGCAGUUCUGGACAGGGUUGCGGGGUCCCACGUCCUCCCACAGGAGCAGAAACAUAUCCUGGAUCUUUCCCCUGUACUGCAGAUAGAUCCAGAAUGUACUAGACUUAGAAACAGGUUGUGCAGAAUUUGAUGGUUUGUUUUUUUUAUUUAUCCUAAGCUCCAGUCUUAGGAGUUACUUCAUUUUACAAGUUGGAGAACUCUGCAUGUCGUUGGUAAGCUUAGAUAAUUUAUUUACUAAACUCUUCUGGCUGCUUAGAUACUGAGCUGGUUUGUGUAUUCAGUUCAGUUAUGAAACUGUUUUGGCUGCAAGCAUAUCCCUUAGGUACAAUAAGAAGGAGUAAAUAUCAGCCUCUCUGCUUGCAUGGCAUGGCCUUUUGGGAGCCUUCCCUGCGCCCCUCUGCAGAGCAGACUGGCAGCAAUCCUGCAGAAAGGAGAUGGCAUGUUGCUGUGGUGACAGCAGGCAGCAGAGGUCUCAACCAGCCCCAGUAGGCAUGCUGAGUAAUAGAUAAACACAGCAUCUCCCUCUACAGGAUUGCAGUUCAGUUUCAGUGUGCAUCAAGGUUUGCCCAUGCUGCAGAAUCCUGGUGCAGGUAGGUGGUGGUGUGUGCAUUGAUGUUCCUUAUCUGAGGUGUGGAGGGCAGGGGAGUCUCUGUGAGGCCAGCAUCCCCAUUGUCUCCACUGCUCCCUCCACCCAGCAGCCUCUCUCCUCUAUGGAUCAUUAUACUAAAAAGAAAAACAGUGUUUGGCAUGAUCAGAAUCAUCUUUCCUGCUAUUCUGAUGAUAUGUGAGCUUUUGCACCAAGCCCAAGGGGAGCACAAGAAAAUCAGAGCAUGGCAAAUAGCACCACUGCUCUCUGUCCAUAGCAGAGCUUGCAGAGCCCCAUUUGUGCUCCUCACGUUGCAGAGCAGUUUCUAUCUCCUGCUGCUGCUGGGUACAAGCUGAAAUGAAAACAUCUUUGCAAUUCCCUUUACAUUUUUUUUUCCCAGGAUGAGGCCUUUUCCCUGCUGCAGGAGUUGCAGACUUCAGUGCUGACUGCUGGCUGUGCCAAAACAAACCACCUGCUUGUAUGCAGCCCAGUAACUCUCUUGUGCAAACAUCUGCCACUCGGUGCUGAGAUGUGCUGCAAGGGCUGUGCUCACAGCGCCGUGGUCCUGACACCUUCUGCCUGCCCUGCCAACAGGGCUGCUCUUUUUUCUGGCUCCACGCUUCCCUGUACAGAGCUGACUGGAGGAGGGAAGAGCAGACUUGGGGCUGUGCUAUGGGGAAGACCAGUGUUCUGCCAGUUCUGCAUAAAGGUGGGAAUCUGCAGUUAGAGCUGGCUGAUAGCAGAGCGUUGCCUUCUGGACGUUUCAUUGUUAAAAUGAGAGGCUUAAGGGGAAUUUAGAGACACAUUUGCAGUGGUGAUUUUUUAAUGGGACUUAAUUUGUCAUCUGUCUUGCAACUGAUAAAUUAAAAGCAUAUAGAACAGAGGCAUGAAAAGGUUGCCAGCUUUAGACUGCUUGCUGUGCAGCCAAGAUUUUCUACAGCUGUGAUCUUGGAAGGCAUAGAUAUUGAUAAGGAAGGGGAUGUGUGCAUUUGUUACAUGGCAAGGGUGCUGUGCAACCUAUCCAAGGUAGAGAGAGAUUGCUGCUUGAUGUUUGAUAUAAAGCCAGAUAUAUUAAACUUAAAAAACUUCCAAUUAGAUAAAAUCAGGAGAGCAGUAAGUGGAGCAGACUGGCACUAUUUCUCAGACAGUGGCCUAUGAAGGAAAAUUGGCUGAGCUUUAAAGAAGUGCUGGAGCUGGCUCGGAGAGUGAAUAUAUCUUUACUUAAAACUAUACAUAAAACUUUUAAACCAAUGCGGAUGAGUGAUAAGCUGUUAAAGUUAAUUGUGAGAGCAUACAGCUCUAAAAUACACAGAGAGCAGUGGGUGAUGGGCUGCCAGGGGAACUGUGAAGCUGCAACACAAAUGGAGGAUGUGAAGGGCAGAAUGGAGAGCAGGUAAUUAUGGCCAUUAAGCUGCAGAGAAUGUUGGUGUUUGAGCACUUUCUGUGCUGAAAGAAACAAAACCAAAUGCCUGCACCCUGCCCCUCCUGCUGUGUUAUUUCCAUUAGAUGCUCUACCACUAAGUGCUGCACUUACCAGGAACAGUAACACACCUGUGUUGGUUUACCUGUUACAGCUGUUGGUAUUAAUAGUAAUUUAUAUCCAUUAUUAGGCCAUAAUAUUUAUAUAGCUACUAUAAGAUAACGUGUAUAAUUAUAUAUUGUGAGCUAUAAUCAUGGAGUAAUGUACAUUGAGAUGUCAAAAUAGUACAUCUAUUAUAUAGCAUUGCAUGUACUUACAUAUGUAUAUUAUGUAAAUAUGCCUGUCAGUGAUAUGUAAUUCUGUAGGAGACUGUUACAGGUUCAUCACAUGCAGCACUACAUGUCACAUAGUGCACUGUUACAAUAGUUACUGUUUAUACCCCAUAUGGCAGUACCAGCUGCUGGCCCCCAGCAGGCUGCAGGUAAAUACGUGUUGGGAAACAGCUUCACUCAUUGCAUUUUUUCAGCUUUGCUUCAGGUUAAGUUUCAUGCAUCCAGUCAUGAAGGUGCUGCUCAGUGUGAGGAUGGGUUGGGAUGCUUAGGUAACCAGCAAUUGUGUGAGCAUCUCUGUAUGAGGAAUUUCAGUCAGGUCAUUGUGGUAAUUAGAACCACCUACUUUGAUGGUUUUUUCUUUUUAAUUAAAGCAAGCUGGAGGACACCAUGCCAGGAAAGAGACAUUUGCUGGUUGGAUUUAUGAAAAGCAUCUGAAGUUUGGCUUGAUUCUUCUGUCUUGCUAUUGAUGUGCGUAUUGCUGAUAUGGGCAGUUUGCAGAAUGCCUAAAUAAAACAAGACUGAAAACCCCAGUAUGGCUGGUAAGGAAAAGGCAGCCGUCUCUCUCUGGAAGAUGUUGUUUUGUAGCAAUUGCCAUUGGUAUUCAUUCACUGCGUUACUUCAAGUCAUAGAGCUUUGUGCAUUUAUUUUACAGGGAUUUUUCUAAUCUCUGAAUGCUCUUCCCUCUUAUACUAGGAACAGAUCCCCUGAUAAUAUGAUUCCAGAUCCACUCAUCACGCUUCCAUUUAGGACUCAGUUUGCUGUACUGCUGUACUUGGAGCAGUAUGGUGCUGCCAUUAGCAGUCAGUGCUCCUAGUGACCAGGGCAUGCACUGUGCCAUAUAGCUCUGCUCUGUGCCCACUGAUCCACGCAUCAGUGCUGUCCUGAAAUUCAAGCAAAUUGAAUAUCUCACACUCAGAGUUCCUUGGGAACCAUUUCCACCAGUCACCACUUGGGUCUUGGGGGGGAUCUAACAACAGCCUUACCUACUGUAGCACUGGGAGCUAAAUAUUCAGGUGUAGUACUGAGGGAUGUGGUUUAAUGGGGAAAUAAUGGUGGUUGGUGGGCAAUUGGACUGGAUGAUCUCGGAGGUCUUUUCCAACCUUGGUGAUUCUGUGAUAUGUUUCGUGAUUGAGUUUCAUUGUAGGGCGCUACUGUAGGUCAGGAGGAGAUGGAGGGUAGGGAACAGGUGUGUGAGAUCCAUAAGGAUAAUUCUGCUGGAAAUGUGAAGGUCACAAAGUGAAGACUGUUCCCACCCAAACUCAUAGCUGUUAAGCUACAAGGUUGAGUAUCAUCACCUUCAACAUAUUGCUAAGUGAUAGUGGGUAUUCUCCUGUGUUGGCAGUAGAGUUUGGGCUUACUGAAGCAACACUGUAUUUUCUUCUUGCUGAAGGAGAAGAUCGUGAUGACUUGCUGAAGCAUUAAAGCUUUGAAAGAGAUAACUUCAAUGAAGAAGCACCUUUCUCCACUCCCUUUCUAUGAUAACAGUGGUAAAGGCUUUGUGUUGCUGUAGUAAUGGAGAACUAAGUGUAGUCUAGAAUCUGGAGCAGUGACUGCUAAUAUUCAUGGCAGUUUGAACAGCUGAAUGUUCUGUAAACGUGCUUCUGGUCAGCAUUUUUUUCUUCUGAAGAAUUACAGUCAUGGUGUUUGCACUUUGAGACCUCAUCCAAAGCCAGCCAGAGCUGAGAAUGCAUUUGGAAAAUGCAGGAAGACAUAGGGUUUAAUUUUUAGGAAGACCUUUAUGGAGCCAUGAGUUGGACUCAAAGGGACUUCUGGGUCUGUUCCAACUAGGGAUAUUUUAUGAUUCAAUGGUUUUCUUUAAUUGCAUUUUUUCCUUGUUGCUUUCCAUAGGGCGUGUGAUGAUGUGUACAAAUGUGUAACUAAAUAGAAAAUAUUUUUGAGUAAAACAGAAUUGAUUGCUGUAUGUAUUAAUUGAAACUAGUUGGAAGUCUGAAAUGGAUUAUGCUGCUGUUUCAGACUUAUCUAACUUCACUGUAACAUAGGAACUGUCAUGUUCUAGAGCGUGAGCCAUGACAAGCCUGAAGGUCCAGCAGUGUCCAAGUAACUUUUGAAGAAGCAGCACAGCCUCUGCCUGCAGCAUUUGAGAUGGCUGAAGGAGGAGAACAAGAAAUGCACGGUCCCUGUUGCAUCAAGGUUGAUCUGUUUCCAGAAGCUCCCCGUACUUCAGGAUACACCUUGAGGUGCCAGUUUUUACACAUCUUUAGCCCCGCCAGCGUUGUGCUUCAGCAGGAGCCUUGGCCAAGCUGGUGUUCCCAGUGCCUGCUGCCAGCUCAGAGCUGUUCCCUGUGGCACAGCACGUGUGCCUGUUCUGUUUGCUCAGGUGGGAAAGGUGUUGAUCAGGGACAGAGAAAAAACCUUUUAAAACAAGUUGAAUGUGGGGACCAGUGGUCAUCAUUUCUCUUUAGAGGCUGAGAGCUCUUGCUGUUUAUGGUCUGUGUGCUGGUGUUUGGCACUUUGUCCUCUUUCGUCUGACAGUAGCAAGAACUGACGUUCUUUAUUUUACUCAGAAUCAUGUUUUUGGGCUUCCGAUCUCUUAAAUCCUGUCAUGGCUUUUAGUCUAGAAGGGAGCAGAAGUAUGUUUUUGAGAACUCAAAGCUGCUUUAAAUCACAGCAAUAAUAAUGCCCAGGCAAAUAACCAUUACGGUUAGCUAACUGUAAUAACGGCAGAUCUUGGCUUUUUGUUUUUUAGCACUUUUAAAAAGAGCAGUCAAUCCAGAAUAAACUCACCAUUGAUUACUCUGAUUUACAUCCAUUUAGCAGAGCAGAAUCUGACCCUUGUAAUACAUUCCUGGGUUUUAAGAGCAGGAGAACUCUCAGCAACGAACCCAGUUCUACAGCAAGAAAGCCACGGUCUUCUAGAUGUUAACGCAGCAGCCCUCAAGAGAUGCUUACAGUGAGAUAUGUUGCAAGGUCACUUUGCAUUUUACCAUGCAGUGACAUUGUGAGUUCUGACAAUUCCUGUAAAGAAACUCCAGAGCACGUGGUAUCUAAAAGCAGCCUCUGGCGUAGCCACUACUACCAGUUCUCCCGAAAAAAUGGGAGCUGGACUUUGCACAAGUGUUUAUUGUAAAGUUAGCUGGGCAGAAAGCUUGUGACUCAGGCUAUGGCUGGUGGGAGGUAUUACUCAGCUCCGUGUGAACCCUCAAUAAAGUUCAGUACAGUUUUUAAGCUGUGGUUUUGGCCAGGUUUUGCUUUUUCUGCGUCAGUUGGUUCCUUCUUUGUUUGGACCAUGGUUGAUUUAAACAUUAUUUUUAUGAGUGGAUCCAUUGACUGUUUUGACUGUGUUUGGGUUUUUUUUUUUUCUUUUCUUUUUUUGAUCCUUUGGUUAGGAAUAAUUUGGGGGAGGAUGAUUUAAAUAAGGACUGAUGUGUCUUGGCUGGGCUUCCAGUGGCUGAGGAACACAUUCUUCAGCACUGUCUGCCCCUCCUUCGUGGCUGGCCAGGAUGUUGAGCAUCUUGAGAUCCAGAAGGCACUUGUUUUUCUCCAUAGGGACACCUGGUAUAUUUUAUGACAAAGGCUUUAUACCAGCUUUAGCUGUCUGAACCUACACUGCUUCUUCCAAGAAUUCCAGGAAUUUGGGAUAAAAAGGGGAAUUCCAGUGUCUCCUUAAAACGUAAGCAAAUGAAUG
Molecule: non-coding RNA, 23115 nt
Organism: Phasianus colchicus (ring-necked pheasant)
Lineage: Eukaryota; Metazoa; Chordata; Aves; Galliformes; Phasianidae
Source: RefSeq, a predicted model, not a curated record